This 331-nucleotide ribosomal RNA is filed under the name uncultured eukaryote. RNAcentral describes it as "partial 18S ribosomal RNA". It matches the Rfam family "Eukaryotic small subunit ribosomal RNA", at positions 1470 to 1796 of the family's 1831-position model. The record is from RNAcentral.
CCCUUAGAUGUUCUGGGCCGCACGCGCGCUACACUGAUGAAUGCAACGAGCUCUACCCUUGACCGAAAGGCCCGGGUAAACUUGUGAAACUUCAUCGUGAUGGGGAUAGAUUAUUGCAAUUAUUAAUCUUCAACGAGGAAUUCCUAGUAAGCGCAAGUCAGCAGCUUGCGUUGAUUACGUCCCUGCCCUUUGUACACACCGCCCGUCGCUACUACCGAUUGAAUGGUUUAGUGAGAUUUUUGGACUGGAACUCUCUUGUUCAGCAAUGAACGAGAGGGACUCUGGGAAGCUAUUCUAACUGUAUCAUUUAGAGGAAGUAAAAGUCGUAACA